Molecule: microRNA, 22 nt
Filed under: Alligator mississippiensis (American alligator)
Lineage: Eukaryota; Metazoa; Chordata; Crocodylia; Alligatoridae
Description: ami-miR-125a-5p
Gene: ami-miR-125a-5p
Source: miRBase by way of RNAcentral
UCCCUGAGACCCUUAUCCUGUG